AACGAACGUUGGCGGCGCGCCUAAUACAUGCAAGUCGAGCGAGAAGACGUAGCAAGUACGUUUGUAAAGCGGCGAACGGGUGAGGGAAUACAUGGGUAACCUACCCUCGAGUGGGGAAUAACGUAGCCGAAAGGUUAGCUAAUACCGCGUACGCUUCUUGGACUUCGGUUCAGGGAGGAAAGCGAUGCCGAGGGUAUCGCGCUCUUGGAUGGGCUCAUGUCCUAUCAGCUUGUUGGUGAGGUAACGGCUUACCAAGGCUUCGACGGGUAGCUGGUCCUGAGAGGACGAUCAGCCACACUGGCACUGCGACACGGGCCAGACUCCUACGGGAGCAGCAGUAAGGAAUA
Molecule: ribosomal RNA, 347 nt
Filed under: uncultured bacterium
Lineage: Bacteria
Description: bacterial SSU rRNA
Rfam family: Bacterial small subunit ribosomal RNA
Source: RNAcentral